GCCUUGCUAGCUCAAUCGGUAGAGCGUGAGACUCUUAAUCUCAAGGUUGUGGGCUCGACCCCCGCGUGAGGCU
RNAcentral lists this transfer RNA (73 nucleotides) under Colletotrichum nupharicola. RNAcentral's name for it is "tRNA-Lys". It matches the Rfam family "tRNA". From Rfam's summary of the family: Transfer RNA (tRNA) molecules are approximately 80 nucleotides in length. Their secondary structure includes four short double-helical elements and three loops (D, anti-codon, and T loops). The record is from RNAcentral. Lineage: Eukaryota; Fungi; Ascomycota; Sordariomycetes; Glomerellales; Glomerellaceae. RNAcentral also lists the same sequence under 1 other name.